AGAUCCGUAGGUGAACCGCGGAAGGAUCAUUAUCGUAACAAAAUGUGAGGGGCAUGUGAGGGCUGUCGCUGACUCAAUUGUCGUGCACGCCCGAGCGUGUCCUCUCACAAUAAUAAUCCAUCUCACCCUUUGUGCAUCGCCGCGUGGGCACCCUUUGGGAUCAUCUCGGAGGGGGCUCGCGUUUUCACAAAACCCCCCUUUUAAAAGUGUAGAAUGACCUCAUUUAUGCGCUAACCCGCAAUCAAUACAACUUUCAACAACGGAUCUCUUGGCUCUCGCAUCGAUGAAGAACGCAGCGAAAUGCGAUACGUAAUGUGAAUUGCAGAAUUCAGUGAAUCAUCGAAUCUUUGAACGCACCUUGCGCCCCUUGGUAUUCCGAGGGGCACACCCGUUUGAGUGUCGUGAAAACCUCAACCUCCUUGGUUUCUUCUGGAGACCAAAGCAGGCUUGGACUUUGGAGGCCUUUGCUGGCACCUCUCUCUUUUGAAGGUCAGCUCCUCUUAAAUGAAUUAGCAGGGUCCUCUUUGCUGAUCCUCGACGUGUGAUAAGAUGUUUCCAUGUCUUGGUUUCUGGCUCUGUCACUCUUGGGACCCGCUUCUAACCGUCUUGACCUUGCGUCGAGACAAUGUUCGAGCAUGUCUCCCAUCUCGGGAAGCUCCCUCGACCCCAGAACCCUUGACCUCAAAUCGGGUGAGACUACCCGCUGAACUUAAGCAUAUCAAUAAGCGGAGGAAAAGAAACCAACCAAU
This 749-nucleotide ribosomal RNA is filed under the name uncultured Lactarius. RNAcentral's name for it is "eukaryotic LSU rRNA". The stretch from base 249 to 402 matches the Rfam family "5.8S ribosomal RNA". Lineage: Eukaryota; Fungi; Basidiomycota; Agaricomycetes; Russulales; Russulaceae. The record is from RNAcentral.